CAGGGAGACAACAAAAUGUUAAAUAUUAAUUUUGUCACCUUAGGUCGAUCGGUAUCUCAGGUUCUUAAUUACUUUAAGAAUUUCAUUUCCUAAGUUUUUUCUAGGUCACACCCAUUACUUUCCCUGGGCCAUUAGCUCAGGUGGUUAGAGCGCACCCCUGAUAAGGGUGAGGUCCCUGGUUCAAGUCCAGGAUGGCCCAUAUCUCUAUGUUGGGGGUAUAGCUCAGUUGGUAGAGCGCCUGCUUUGCAAGCAGGAUGUCAGCGGUUCGAGUCCGCUUACCUCCACUGAUUACCACCUCUUCCAUAAAUUUAAAGAAGGGAAUAGUUAUGAGCGUUGAUUUACUUCUGAACGAAUCUAGCUUCCUAAUAAAUAUAUUAAGAUGCUGGACUCAUUGAAUUUUAUUCAUUGUUUUCAGAGAACCUUGACAACUGCAUAGAUUAUUUUUAAAGACAAUAAGCAUCUUUAAUGAUGCAGAUUUAUUAUUUGUGCUAAUGCAUUAAUAACAAUUCUAUUGAGCUGAUGCUUCAAUUAUAUGAAGUUAUU
Molecule: transfer RNA, 543 nt
Filed under: uncultured cyanobacterium
Lineage: Bacteria; Bacillati; Cyanobacteriota
Description: partial 16S-23S ribosomal RNA intergenic spacer
Rfam family: tRNA (bases 212-284)
Source: RNAcentral